CUCUCGGCAAUGGAUAUCUCGGCUCUUGCAUCGAUGAAGAACGUAGUGAAAUGCGAUACUUGGUGUGAAUUGCAGAAUCUCGUGAACCAUUGAGUCUUUGAACGCAAGUUGUGCCCGAGGCCUUGUGGCCGAGGGCACGCCUGCUUGGGCGUCAUGGC
Molecule: ribosomal RNA, 158 nt
Filed under: Hedychium gardnerianum
Lineage: Eukaryota; Viridiplantae; Streptophyta; Magnoliopsida; Zingiberales; Zingiberaceae
Also listed under: 5 other names
Description: 5.8S ribosomal RNA
Rfam family: 5.8S ribosomal RNA
About the family: 5.8S ribosomal RNA (5.8S rRNA) is a component of the large subunit of the eukaryotic ribosome. It is transcribed by RNA polymerase I as part of the 45S precursor that also contains 18S and 28S rRNA.
Source: RNAcentral